UUAAUGUACUGUCAGCCUUGGACUUUGUUGUGGUUGUAAGCGGGUGUCCCAGAGGAAGGGAACUGCUUGGCACGUGUUCUCUCUCCUGUCCUCCUUCUAACCCUGGCCACAAAGCAGCGAGGUCUGUCAGGUUUUUAUCCAGCUUGCAGGUAAAGGGUUACAGAUUCUAGGAAGUAUUAAAUGCAAACUUUAAAGGAUUUUAUUUUCAUCUGCAGUCACAUGACACCCUAAUACCCAAUGACACUAACUACAGUGUCUCAUUAAGAGGUCAUGCGAACUCCCAAGCUAAACAAGGCAUUCUUACAUAUUUAACAUUCAAAUGCAGAAGCCACGCUAAGCCAUGGAAGAUUGCAAUCAGAAAAAAGCUACACUUCCUGAUCAGCACAGAAGCUACAGGUUCUUUAAAGAGGAGACAGAUUGCUAGCAUUUUGGGCUGAAAUCUGGAGGUAAGGAACUGGAACACAAAUGUAACACCCAAUCUAAGAAUGGGAAAUUUUUAUAGGAGUGGAAAACCUCAGAUGCUGAACUUUCACCCCAGACUUCUGCAAGGUCUUUGCUAACAAAGAACUACACAAACAUAGACAGAGUUUAUUGAUGCCACACCACCUGCCCAGUGUUUGCCGCUGUCGUGGACACUGCCAAUAAAGAUCAAAGCUUCCCCUGCAUUAACGAGCUAAACAUAGGUGUUGCAUGUUCUGCAGAAAGCUGUAGACCUACGUUGACCUCUACUGAGUAAAGUUUGGGCCAGAUGAACUCAAGAGGUUCUUUCCAAUGAAGUAGCUUAUGAUUCUGCAUGACAGUUCAUAAAACAGAAAUUUAUUUUGUUGUGAUUCAUGGUCCAGGAAGCAGAAAACCUUGUAUGACAGAUACCACCAUGUGAAACAACUCGUGAUCAUUACUUGCCGGGAAGAGAUAGAACACAGCAGCCAGCAUGAUCUGCAAAAGCAGUAGAACAAAUGGAACAUCAAAAUCUCUCUUUGCACCAGAGAUCUAAAGAGGCUUCACUAAAAGAUAGCUACAGCUAAGACCUGUAUCUGGACACCAAUAGACUCAUGAUAAUGGACUACAAGAUCAAUUAAACAGACAGCACCGUCCUAAGCUGUCUUAGCUAAUGGAAAGGUGAUAAUUCUCCAG
RNAcentral lists this long non-coding RNA (1134 nucleotides) under Cairina moschata (Muscovy duck). RNAcentral's name for it is "domestica (muscovy Duck (domestic type)) lncRNA (ENSCMMG00000015541.1)". Lineage: Eukaryota; Metazoa; Chordata; Aves; Anseriformes; Anatidae. The record is from RNAcentral.